UCACAGGAGGAGAGUAACCACAAACCACAA
This 30-nucleotide non-coding RNA is filed under the name Mus musculus (house mouse). The record is from RNAcentral. Lineage: Eukaryota; Metazoa; Chordata; Mammalia; Rodentia; Muridae.